UAGCAUAUCAAUAAGCGGAGGAAAAGAAACCAACAGGGAUUGCCUCAGUAACGGCGAGUGAAGCGGCAAUAGCUCAAAUUUGAAAUCUGGCGUCUUCGGCGUCCGAGUUGUAAUUUGUAGAGGAUGCUAUUGAGUUGUCACCGGUCUAAGUUCCUUGGAACAGGACGUCAUAGAGGGUGAGAAUCCCGUAUGUGACCGGCCAGACGCUCUCUGUAUAGCUCCUUCGACGAGUCGGGUUGUUUGGGAAUGCAGCCCUAAAUGGGAGGUAAAUUUCUUCUAAAGCUAAAUACCGGCCAGAGACCGAUAGCGCACAAGUAGAGUGAUCGAAAGAUGAAAAGCACUUUGGAAAGAGAGUUAAAAAGCACGUGAAAUUGUUGAAAGGGAAGCGCUUGCAAUCAGUCUCGACGGCGGCUGUUCGGCCUCUCUUCUGAGUGGUUUAUUCAGUCGCCGCCGGGCCAGCAUCAGUUUUGGCGGUCGGAUAAAGACGCGGGGAAUGUAGCUCCCCUCGGGGAGUGUUAUAGCCCCGCGUGCAAUACGGCCCGCCGGGACUGAGGUCCGCGCUUCGGCUAGGAUGCUGGCGAAAUGGUUGUAAGCGGCCCGUCUUGAAACACGGACCAAGGAGUCUAACAUCUAUGCGAGUGUUUGGGUGUCAAACCCGUGCGCGUAAUGAAAGUGAACGGAGGUGGGAACCGCAAGGUGCACCAUCGACCGAUCCUGAUGUCUUCGGAUGGGAUUUGAGUAAGAGCAUAGCUGUUGGGACCCGAAAGAUGGUGAACUAUGCCUGAAUAGGGUGAAGCCAGAGGAAACUCUGGUGGGAGCUCGCAGCGGUUCUGACGUGCAAAUCGAUCGUCAAAUUUGGGUAUAGGGGCGAAAGACUAAUCGAACCAUCUAGUAGCUGGUCUGC
RNAcentral lists this ribosomal RNA (904 nucleotides) under Sphaceloma murrayae. Its description in RNAcentral is "LSU rRNA". It matches the Rfam family "Eukaryotic large subunit ribosomal RNA", at positions 36 to 959 of the family's 3401-position model. Lineage: Eukaryota; Fungi; Ascomycota; Dothideomycetes; Myriangiales; Elsinoaceae. The record is from RNAcentral.